UACGGAGGAUGCGAGCGUUAUCCGGAUUUAUUGGGUUUAAAGGGUGCGUAGGCGGAUUAAUAAGUCAGUGGUGAAAUCCUGCAGCUUAACUGUGGAACUGCCAUUGAUACUGUUAGUCUUGAGUAUGGUCAAGGUAGGCGGAAUGUGUAAUGUAGCGGUGAAAUGCUUAGAUAUUACACAGAACACCGAUUGCGAAGGCAGCUUACUGGGCCAUUACUGACGCUGAUGCACGAAAGCGUGGGGAUCGAACAGGA
Molecule: ribosomal RNA, 254 nt
Filed under: uncultured prokaryote
Description: partial 16S ribosomal RNA
Rfam family: Bacterial small subunit ribosomal RNA
Source: RNAcentral